GACGAACCGUGCGAACGUUAUUCGGAAUCACUGGGCUUAAAGCGCGUGUAGGCGGCCCGGCACGUCAUCGGCUGAAAUCCCCCGGCUCAACCGGGGAAGGGGCCAUGAUACGACCGGGCUGGAGGCCGGUAGGGGGCGCCGGAACUCACGGUGGAGCGGUGAAAUGCGUUGAGAUCGUGAGGAACGCCCGUGGCGAAAGCGGGCGCCUGGACCGGGCCUGACGCUGAGACGCGAAAGCCAGGGGAGCGAACGGGAUUAGAUACCCCGGUAGUCCUGGCCGUAAACCAUGGGCACUGGGUAGGGGGCUCGCCGAUGGGCUCCCUGCCGCAGCGAAAGCGUGAAGUGCCCCGCCUGGGGAGUAUGGUCGCAAGGCUGAA
RNAcentral lists this ribosomal RNA (377 nucleotides) under uncultured bacterium. RNAcentral describes it as "bacterial SSU rRNA". It matches the Rfam family "Bacterial small subunit ribosomal RNA", at positions 524 to 898 of the family's 1533-position model. The record is from RNAcentral.